RNAcentral lists this unclassified non-coding RNA (310 nucleotides) under Homalodisca vitripennis (glassy-winged sharpshooter). RNAcentral's name for it is "uncharacterized LOC124366503, transcript variant X1". Lineage: Eukaryota; Metazoa; Arthropoda; Insecta; Hemiptera; Cicadellidae. The record is from RNAcentral.
CGGAUUUGAUUCAAGAAUCAUUCCCUGAGCUUUAUAGCCUACUAGGACAAAAUAUCACCAAACAUGAAAAUCUUAUUCAAGAUCCAGAAGAUGUUGUUGAUCCAUCAGUGAACGGUUAUGAACCAGAAACCGGACAUCAUCUUCCUGCUGAAAUUGUACAAGAGGACUGUUCAUCAAACAGCAGUUUAUUUUCUGACAAUGAUCUGGAUAAUCCCACUUAUGUACCCCAGGAGAGUUCAGAAAGUGAAAUAUCUUUUAGUGAUGUCAUUGAGAUAUCACAACCUACAACAUUUGAUACAAAUACCGUACC